CAGCAGCCACGGUAAUACGAAGGGUGCAAGCGUUAAUCGGAAUUACUGGGCGUAAAGCGUGCGUAGGCGGUGAGUUAAGUCUGCUGUGAAAUCCCCGGGCUCAACCUGGGAAUGGCAGUGGAUACUGGCUCGCUAGAGUGUGUCAGAGGAUGGUGGAAUUCCCGGUGUAGCGGUGAAAUGCGUAGAGAUCGGGAGGAACAUCAGUGGCGAAGGCGGCCAUCUGGGACAACACUGACGCUGAGGCACGAGAGCGUGGGGAGCAAACAGGAUUAGAUACCCCCGUAGUCCCUGUCUCUUAUAC
Molecule: ribosomal RNA, 301 nt
Filed under: uncultured bacterium
Lineage: Bacteria
Description: partial 16S ribosomal RNA
Rfam family: Bacterial small subunit ribosomal RNA
Source: RNAcentral